AAAUUCAGAUCGGGAGAGAUCGCGUUAAAUCGCGACGCCGAAGGAGCAACCACCCCGGAAACUCUCAGGCAAAAGGACCGGUUUGAAUCG
This 90-nucleotide non-coding RNA is filed under the name Acidovorax temperans. Its description in RNAcentral is "Glycine sequence". It matches the Rfam family "Glycine riboswitch aptamer". Rfam says of the family: This family represents the bacterial glycine riboswitch. Glycine riboswitches usually consist of two metabolite-binding aptamers domains with similar structures in tandem. The record is from Rfam by way of RNAcentral. Lineage: Bacteria; Pseudomonadati; Pseudomonadota; Betaproteobacteria; Burkholderiales; Comamonadaceae.